RNAcentral lists this non-coding RNA (99 nucleotides) under Frankia canadensis. The record is from RNAcentral. Lineage: Bacteria; Bacillati; Actinomycetota; Actinomycetes; Frankiales; Frankiaceae.
GAGAGCCCGGUGCGCUGAAAGGCGCCCGCCGGGUUCGGGAAGCGGCCCAGGGAAACGGAUCGGCCGAAAGACCGACACCGCGCCCCGGGCCGACUUCAC